Molecule: transfer RNA, 71 nt
Filed under: Cordylochernes scorpioides
Lineage: Eukaryota; Metazoa; Arthropoda; Arachnida; Pseudoscorpiones; Chernetidae
Description: tRNA-Gly
Source: RNAcentral
UGCAUCGGCCGGGAAUCGAAACCGGGGCGCACGCGUGGCAAGCGAGCAUUCUACCACUGAACGUCCGAUGG